RNAcentral lists this ribosomal RNA (577 nucleotides) under uncultured beta proteobacterium. Its description in RNAcentral is "bacterial SSU rRNA". It matches the Rfam family "Bacterial small subunit ribosomal RNA", at positions 790 to 1368 of the family's 1533-position model. Lineage: Bacteria; Pseudomonadati; Pseudomonadota; Betaproteobacteria. The record is from RNAcentral.
GUAGUCCACGCCCUAAACGAUGUCGACUGGUUGUUGGGGAAGGCAACUUCCUUAGUAACGAAGCUAACGCGUGAAGUCGACCGCCUGGGGAGUACGGCCGCAAGGUUAAAACUCAAAGGAAUUGACGGGGACCCGCACAAGCGGUGGAUGAUGUGGAUUAAUUCGAUGCAACGCGAAAAACCUUACCUACCCUUGACAUGCCAGGGACCUGGGUGAGAGCCCGGGGUGCCCGAAAGGGAGCCUGGACACAGGUGCUGCAUGGCUGUCGUCAGCUCGUGUCGUGAGAUGUUGGGUUAAGUCCCGCAACGAGCGCAACCCUUGCCACUAGUUGCCACCGAAAGGGGCACUCUAGUGGGACUGCCGGUGACAAACCGGAGGAAGGUGGGGAUGACGUCAAGUCCUCAUGGCCCUUAUGGGUAGGGCUUCACACGUCAUACAAUGGCGCAUACAGAGGGUUGCCAACCCGCGAGGGGGAGCCAAUCCCAGAAAGUGCGUCGUAGUCCGGAUUGUUCUCUGCAACUCGAGAGCAUGAAGUCGGAAUCGCUAGUAAUCGCGGAUCAGCAUGUCGCGGUGAAUA